This is a long non-coding RNA of Podarcis raffonei (Aeolian wall lizard), 788 nucleotides long. RefSeq lists it as uncharacterized. The transcript is spliced from 2 exons. NCBI's taxonomy places the organism in Eukaryota, Metazoa, Chordata, Lepidosauria, Squamata, Lacertidae. The record is from RefSeq and is a predicted model, not a curated record.
AGCCUCUGAAUCAGAUUCCCAAGCCAUCACAGGAGCAACUGUGCCAGGCCAAGGAUGCGUACAAGGUCCAGCUAUGUGCACUGCUACAUCUGCAAACAGCUUUAAGAGGCCUGACAUGCAAGUCUCUUAAGAUUUACAUGAAGGCAUCCAUUUACAACAUACCAGGUUAUUAUUUGUGAGGCAGCAAUUAUUUAGAAAAAAAUUAUAUCCCCAAAGGGGGGAAUUGUUAUAAGAAUUUUUAGGUUAGAGAGAGAGAGAGAUCUAAAUGUACCAAGCAAACACAUAUAUAAAUAUAUAAACCACAUGUCCAAAACCCAGAAGAAAAGUCCUAAAGCCAUUUUGACUCUUUCACUCACCUCAAAUAUUUCUCUACAAGGUCGAAGGAAAGGCAGAAACCUUCCCAUUGUCUCUGUCCUCACAAAUCCUGACUUAAGGGCACAUUUAAGGUGUGAAUAGGGUGAGCCUGUGACCUGGCUCAGGAAUGAAGUAUUAUCAUUACAAAAGAAUAGCCAGCCUUCCCAGGUAAUCUAGUCAAGUGGCCAUUAACAGGUAACCUGGCAGACAAGGUAAAAACAAUGCACUCAGAUUUCUGUUGUAGACUGCCUUUUCUGUGAUGUAUGUAUGAUGUUUCUGGGUGUGGUCUUGGAUUCCAGGGUGGGCAAUUAAAAAUGUCUGUAUAAGGGCUUGCAUGCAGGGCUCAGGGUCCUCCUCCUCUCUCCUGCGUGUGGGGAAGAACCCUGUUGCAACAGUUAAUAAAGAAGAGGCUUACUGGCUGCUUUGCUUCUCAA